RNAcentral lists this long non-coding RNA (402 nucleotides) under Rattus norvegicus (Norway rat). RNAcentral's name for it is "long non-coding RNA NONRATT033102". The record is from RNAcentral. Lineage: Eukaryota; Metazoa; Chordata; Mammalia; Rodentia; Muridae.
CCAAUCCCCAGCUCUGGGCUUCGUAUCAGGGCACAGCCCCGAGUCAGAGAAAACUUAGCCAUGAUGUGUACAUCCCUCGUGAGGACAACUGUGAAGCAAGAUCUAUACAGCUCUUGAGGUCUCCCUCUAAACCCCUGCAGUAUCCAGCACACUCUGAACUACAUGAACUUCCUAGACUCCCAUGUGCUUAUUUUUAGGUUAAAUUCUUGCUAUUUUCUAAGGCUGGCUCAACAUGAAGGAUCCCAAUUUUAGAAAGGAAGAAGAUGUGAGACACACAGAAUGAGAGAGAGAGCGCGCCUCAGCCCGAAGGGGAUCCUUGCACCCUAGGCAGCCGUUGCUCUCUCACCAAACCAAUCAAAUAUAGAAACCAAUAAAAGAAACCCCUAAACGGAACUAAAAUGA